GGGUUUGGCUCAGUGGUAGAGCGCUCACCUUGCACGUGCAAGGUCCUGGGUUCGAUCCUUAGCACCACA
Molecule: transfer RNA, 69 nt
Filed under: Marmota monax (woodchuck)
Lineage: Eukaryota; Metazoa; Chordata; Mammalia; Rodentia; Sciuridae
Description: tRNA.Ala
Source: RNAcentral